This 1017-nucleotide ribosomal RNA is filed under the name uncultured organism. RNAcentral describes it as "bacterial SSU rRNA". It matches the Rfam family "Bacterial small subunit ribosomal RNA", at positions 356 to 1376 of the family's 1533-position model. The record is from RNAcentral.
GAGGAAUAUUGGUCAAUGGACGAGAGUCUGAACCAGCCAAGUAGCGUGAAGGAUGACUGCCCUAUGGGUUGUAAACUUCUUUUAUAUGGGAAUAAAGUAUUCCACGUGUGGGAUUUUGUAUGUACCAUAUGAAUAAGGAUCGGCUAACUCCGUGCCAGCAGCCGCGGUAAUACGGGGGAUCCGAGCGUUAUCCGGAUUUAUUGGGUUUAAAGGGAGCGUAGGUGGAUUGUUAAGUCAGUUGUGAAAGUUUGCGGCUCAACCGUAAAAUUGCAGUUGAAACUGGCAAUCUUGAGUACAGUAGAGGUGGGCGGAAUUCGUGGUGUAGCGGUGAAAUGCUUAGAUAUCACGAAGAACUCCGAUUGCGAAGGCAGCUCACUAGACUGCAACUGACACUGAUGCUCGAAAGUGUGGGUAUCAAACAGGAUUAGAUACCCUGGUAGUCCACACAGUAAACGAUGAAUACUCGCUGUUUGCGAUAUACAGUAAGCGGCCAAGCGAAAGCAUUAAGUAUUCCACCUGGGGAGUACGCCGGCAACGGUGAAACUCAAAGGAAUUGACGGGGGCCCGCACAAGCGGAGGAACAUGUGGUUUAAUUCGAUGAUACGCGAGGAACCUUACCCGGGCUUAAAUUGCAUUUGAAUAAUCUGGAAACAGGUUAGCCGCAAGGCAAAUGUGAAGGUGCUGCAUGGUUGUCGUCAGCUCGUGCCGUGAGGUGUCGGCUUAAGUGCCAUAACGAGCGCAACCCUUAUCUUUAGUUACUAACAGGUUAUGCUGAGGACUCUAGAGAGACUGCCGUCGUAAGAUGUGAGGAAGGUGGGGAUGACGUCAAAUCAGCACGGCCCUUACGUCCGGGGCUACACACGUGUUACAAUGGGGGGUACAGAAGGCAGCUACCUGGCGACAGGAUGCUAAUCCCAAAAACCUCUCUCAGUUCGGAUCGAAGUCUGCAACCCGACUUCGUGAAGCUGGAUUCGCUAGUAAUCGCGCAUCAGCCAUGGCGCGGUGAAUACGUUCCCG